RNAcentral lists this ribosomal RNA (301 nucleotides) under uncultured bacterium. Its description in RNAcentral is "partial 16S ribosomal RNA". It matches the Rfam family "Bacterial small subunit ribosomal RNA", at positions 509 to 807 of the family's 1533-position model. The record is from RNAcentral.
CAGUAGCCGCGGGAACACAGAGGGUGCGAGCGUUAAUCGGAUUUACUGGGCGUAAAGCGUGCGUAGGCGGCUUCUUAAGUCGGAUGUGAAAUCCCUGAGCUUAACUUAGGAAUUGCAUUCGAUACUGGGAAGCUAGAGUAUGGGAGAGGAUGGUAGAAUUCCAGGUGUAGCGGUGAAAUGCGUAGAGAUCUGGAGGAAUACCGAUGGCGAAGGCAGCCAUCUGGCCUAAUACUGACGCUGAGGUACGAAAGCAUGGGGAGCAAACAGGAUUAGAUACCCCCGUAGUCCCUGUCUCUUAUAC